Molecule: long non-coding RNA, 5752 nt
Filed under: Mytilus galloprovincialis (Mediterranean mussel)
Lineage: Eukaryota; Metazoa; Mollusca; Bivalvia; Mytilida; Mytilidae
Source: RNAcentral
CACGAUUUUAUGAGUUGAAAAUUUUAUGAGUUGAAGAAGUUGAAAAAAAGUCUGAUAAUAACUGAUAAUGCAAAAUGGCAGGAUCAGCCUUAAGAAGGUUGAUGGCAGAAUACAAGCGUUAGUUUCAGAUAUGUUUAUGAAUAUCUCAUUUGGUCUUCAAUCAACAGAGCUUGUUGUUCGGGUGUCGGUUUGGCAUAAAAGUUUUCGAGAUAUUUCUGCCACACAACCAGUUCGGCUAUAGACAAAGUUGUUUCGGCCACAUCCUUCUUAUUGUUCUAAGGGUUCAUAAUAUCAAAUUGACUAAUUUGACCUUUUUAGUAAUAUGAGGCAGGCAUUACCUGUAAAUGGGGACAAAGUCUGUAUGGUUUAUUUUUUUGUAACUUAAAUAUUUGUUAAAAAAAAGAAACGGAAAUACUGUAACGUUUCCGAUUUUGGUUCUAUUGUUAGGGAUUUUAGUUGUGACGUUACUUAAGUUAUGACCUCAUAUGCAAUGUAAACAAAUAAACACUAUAAUGAGGUAACGUUUUUUCAUAUCAAGGAAUUAUUAAAAAUGAAAUUGGUAUUGUGUUCCUUCCUAUUUUAUACUAGACUGAUAAAUAUAUAUUUUACUCAAAGUUUCAUACAAACGAGACCGAAGAAAGGAAGUACAUUGUAGAUUUCUGCACAGAUGCGGGAAUUCAAAACAUGACAUCAAAAAAAGUGAAAGAUUUUGAGUUCAUUAGCACAAUGAAAUUUUCAGGAAAAUUUUCCCAAUUUUUAAAAAAAAAAUUUUUUAUUGAUUUUUCUACUGUUUUUGGGGACUUUGUCCCCAUAUUAACACACGGGUUUGUUACAAUUGCCGUGUUUUCUAUCCAUACAAACCCCUAAAAAACAGGGGUUUGUAUGGAUAGAAAACCCAACAAUUGUAACAAACCCAGGGCUGUGAUUAACAUACAGUAGCAUUGACAAAAAAAACAUGAGUUCAUUGUCUAGUGGUUAAGUCAAGACCAAUUGCUUCAGUGCUGAAGGUCCCAAGUUUGAUUCCCACGAAAAAUAUCAGUACAUCAGAAUGGUAAUUUUCAUACUCUCCCACACAUCUCUGGUACCCAGACCGGAGUUUAAACUAGAACAGGUACUUUUGGAGCCUCAGUUGGUCAAAGUUGCCCCCUACUUUGACAUGGAGAUCAAUCUUCUGAUAUCUCUCUUGUUUGUUUGUUUCCACCGAGUGGCCCAGUGGUCUUCUCCGAGUACUUCUGCUUCCUCCACCCCAAUAACAGACUUCCCAGUGUCCUAGGACUCCUUUUCUGUUGGGUUGGGAUUGAAUGUCCUUGUAAAAAUAAUUGUAGUAUAUAUAUACGCUAGUGACUCAUCUCCAUUUAUCCCGAUAGGGAGUGCACAUGGAUGCCACUGUACCAUCGCAUCUUUCAAGGGGUUCUUUGAAUAACUGAGGCAUUAACCACUACAUACAUACACAUAUAUUAUAAUAUAUAUUGUCAUAUUAACCUACACACUGCUAUAGGUGCCGUUCUGGCUUCUGCCAACUUUUCAUGAAGCAAAUGCAUGACAUUUGGUAGGCACUCUGUCCCCUAAAGUAACGUCGUAAUUUUGCGAUCUGCCGUCAUACAAUAUUUCGUUUUGUAUUGCCACUUGUUAUCGUAAUUGCAAAUAGAAUUACUGGGUUGAGUUAGAAAUAAAUUAGAUGCAAAAGUAAAUGAAUAUUUAAAGAAUUUUUACAUGGUUUUAUAUUUAUUGAUACACAAUAAAUGAAAUUUGCGUCCUGUCAAACAAAACGGCAAUUUUUAGACGACGUUACACUUUUCGUUUAUUUUAUCGGAAUAGACUUUAUUUUAUUAAGCUGGCGCGCCAUCUAUAAACAACGGAUAUUUAUAGCAGAAGACUCAUUGUGAUGGAAAAGUUUCAGAGAUUGUACUGUCUGAUGCUCCUAUCGUUCGGUAGGUAAAUACAUUAGCCCUGUACGUUUAAAAUGUAAAAUGUUAUCUUUCUCUUGAAAACGUACGUAAAUAAAUUGGAGCUUUUCAGAGAACAUACUUGAGAACUUCGUUGAAAUGAUCCCAAAUUUUUAGCUUGAUCUGGCUUUCUAAUGCACAGCGCGAACCAGGCAAACUAUAGAUGUUGAUGCUUUUUACGGAAUUAGUCUACAACGUCACGUUGUGCUUUGUAACGUUUCCUCAUUUGACGAUUUGUGUAAUUCCGUGAAAAUGAAAGGCAUUUGUGUUGGCCAAAAAAUGUAAACAAUCAUCGCAAAAAGUAUGGCAGCCCGGCACCAAAGAAGCCGUGUAUGUUUGAUAUGUAUUACUUUGAAUUGUUAAAAGUAAUAAAGAAAUAUCUACGCCAAAUUAAAACAGCAUACUCUAUGAGUCUAUGUAAUAUCUGAUUGAAACGGAGACGGCCGAGUUGUUUGUCAGACUGUCUAUUUAGGGUCUGUCUAUUUAUAUCCCGAGAAACUAUAGUCUAUUUCUUAUUUAACUUUCACUUUACGAGUCUUUAUCGGGGAUGUGUGUUAUUUUUACGAGAAUCACCAAAGAGUUGAGACAGUGAAUGUUGGACCUCAUACUACAACACACUACAGUUAAAUAUGCCACCUUCAAUUUUUUGCUAUAUAAUUAGGGGCGGAUCCAGCCAUUUUAAAAAGGGGGGUUCCGAACCCAGAGUAAAGGGGGGGGGGGGGUGAAUCCAACUAUAUGCUCCCAUUCAAAUGCAUUGAUCGUCAAACAAAGGGGGUUCCAACCCCUGACCCCCCCCUUUGGAUGCGCCACUGAUAAUGCAGAAAGAACUACCAAAAGAAAUAUAUAAAAAAAUAUUUUGAAGGCAUUUUUUUUCUUCAAGAAAACAUCAUCAGACUCAGAUUUAACACAGCUGUAUUUGUUUAAUACAUUCGUUUUCAUGAAGUGUCCUCCUUUUUGAUAAAAUAAACAAGUAUUUGUUUAUCCUUAUAGAAAUUAGAUGAAUUGCUAAGAUUAAAGAAUAUAUUUUAAAAACAUGUGCACUUUUAAAAAGAGACCAGAAAAAACAACUAAAUUCAAAAAAAGACCAAAUAAACAAAGAUACUGCUACAGAAAAAAAUACUUCAUUUAAUGUAUAAUGAUACACUAAUGAUUUGUCAAUAAGCCAGUAAUUAAUGGUCGUAUGAUUAUUAGACAUGAAAAGCAACCCAACAAAUAUAUAUAGCUCUUAGCAAGUGAAAACAAAGGCCAAGUUUUAAUAUGUUAUAACAAGAAAAAGUGGGCUUUUAGAUUUUAAAUUUUUUAUUACAUAUGCUAUCAAUCUAAUCUUGAGAAAAAAUUAUUAUAAUUUCUGUUUAGAUUUAAUACCAGCUGCUGUACAAAACGCACAAGAAUUAAGAAAAUAUGAUGAUGCUAUUUGAUUAAGUAAUACUAUAUGCUUAUAUAAAUAUUUUUGUCAAUACAUGUAUCAAAUAUUUACUAUAUUAAAAGCAAGUCCCCGAGUGCAAAAAACACAACAUUUAAAGGUGUCAAAUUUUUAAUUAUUCUGUCACAUGUGUGAUUUAUGUCAAUGGUUAAUUGGUGUUUAAUGCCACUUUCAGCAUUAUGUACUAUUUCGUAGUAGUUGGUUUUUAUUGGUUGAGUGAGAAAAUAAUGCUUGAAGAGAACCAAGAUCCAAGAUAGUAAAAUUGACAGGCUAACUAAGUCAAUUAAGAUUAUAGUCAAACUGAAAGGCUUUGAAAUUCACAACCUUUGUGUUGACAGGAUAGUGAUAGAGAAGUUAUUUACUUAAGACCAUUUGGCUACUGAAACCAAUUGCAAUGAAACAGUUACACAACAAUGUGUCAUAGAAAAACAUGCAGUCUUUAUCCAUAGCACAAGUUAAAUAAAAAAUUGCUGAGUUUCCGUUUUCUUACUUUAAUUUGCCGCAAACAAAUGUUAUAAAACGAAUAGGUAUACAAUGCCUAUUACCACAAAAACCAGAUCAUGUUCAAAAUUGGGUGGCGUCACUUUUACCAUUCAUGACUUAUGUUCUUUUUUAAAUGAAGCAAUUACUUAAUCUGUUGCUUUAAUUCUCUUCCUCUUGUUUGCUUCAACUAAAUGUUAUGAAAUUUAUACACAAUGCUUAUAAUUACAUAAGAGCCUUAAUGAAAUUAAUCCUGCAUCUGUAUUUGGAAGUUGACUGCCUCUGGUGCAUAUUGUUACAGGCCGGGUAUUUGCGGCCCAAAAACACAUUCUCAAUUUAUUAAACCAUGUUCAUUUACAAGAACAGCCUAGUAUAGAAAAACCUCUGAAAUCGCCUUCAAUAUAUUUUUCUAAAUCAACUUUAAAUUAAUUUGAACAAUUGACUAAAUUGAAGAAAGCGGGGGUGUUUUGUUUACAAUGUAUACUGAUCCCCAAUUUGAAAAAAAAACUAUUCUCAAUGCUCAGAUUUUUUCUUUUUUUCCCCCAUUUCCAUUACAAUAGAGUAGUGGUAUAUAGAAUAAAAAUAAAAAUAAUCUGAUUAAUCGUGUCAAAAAACUAAAUAAAUUUGUUUGUGCUUUGCACGUACAAUAUUUUUGACUAAGAAAAAAAACCAAGAAUUUAUAUGCCCCACUUACGAUAGUAGAGGGGUAUUAUGUUUUCUGAUCUGAUCGUCCGUUUGAUAGAUUGUCUGUGUGUCCCUUUUCAUGUUUAAGUUUUUGGUCAAGGUAGUUUUUGAUGAAAUUGAGGUCCAAUCAAUUUGAAAUAUAUAGUUCAAAUGUUCCCUAUGAUAUGACUUUCUAAUUUUAAUGCCAUAUUAGAUGUUUGACCCCAAUUUCACGGUCCACAGUCACUGAACAUACAUGUAGAAAAUGAUAGUGUGAGUGAGGUAUCCAUGUACUUAUUGACACAUUCUUGUUAGAUUUGUAUUGUUUAAUUACUGGUGUAUUAUAUCAUUUAACCCAUCAUUGAUUUUUUUCUUCUAUUUUUAUAUGGUUAUUUUUGUGACCUGCAUGUAUAUGAGAACACACACAAUCAUGCACAUAAAAAAACCUCAUAUACAUUUUUGAAAGUCAUUUGAUACAUAUGAAUUAUUUCAAUUGAGUAUUUUUUUUUAUUUUUUUGAAGUAGAAUGGAGAAUUAUCCUUACCUAGUUGACCAGGCUCUACUGAUAUGAUAGAUAUGCCGAUGUCUAACUUGGAGAUCUUGAUUAGGUUGGGAAAUGUAUCAGGUAGGUGGUUAUUCAUACAUAAUAUAUAUCAUGAAACAAAUAUGUCAUCGAAAAAACAUUGAAAUUAGUCAUACAUGUAUGCUGUUGAGACAGUAACCAAACAACAUGUUCAUAUAAUCAAAAUUAAAAACAAUUUGAUAGUAAUAUUUUAAAAAAAUUACUUUAAAUGGCCUUAACAAUUACUAAGUAGAUGUAUUCAUGUAUGUUGUAGAAUUAUACUGAAAGUAUUUACUAGUUCAUUUGACUGGCAAAAAAAUGAUCAAUAUUUCAGGUUUUACAAAACAGACUAGACAAAUUGCAAGAUAGCAAUUAUGGAAGAGUCACAGUUGAAAAAACAUAAAAUCUAUGAAAACAGCUAACAGCUACUCAUAACAUUUUUUUAAUCCUUUUGAUAUUUGUUGUCUUGAUUUUAAACUACCAGUAAGCUUUAUAUAUUUAAAUAUGGAAACUCCAACAGCACACACUAAUUUCAACAAUUUUAUUUUUUGGUAUUUUGUGUUUUUUCAGAUCAUGUAGAUGUAGAAGUAGAAGAAACAGCAGUGAAAAAAGAAUGAGAGUCAUCAUUUUAAUAAACAUUUCGCUUGAAAUUGAAAUAAAUCUAUUUUUUUCUUCAUUA